CCAGCCAUUCUCAGUGUAGAAGGAAUGGUGCAACCCUCCCUUAGUUCACCCAAACCUGCACCUGGCCAUCAGUAAAUGGAAAUGGAGUGUAUGCUAUUGUGCAGUAUCACCAACCUGGGAGGUUUGCAACAACCUUGAAAACUCUUAUGUUGCCCUUCUGCUGAGCCCUCCUCUGCUCAGGAGUGGCUGUUCUCAGUGACUGAUGCUCAGUUCUGGGUCUCCUAAGGAACCUUCAACAUGUUUUGUUCUGCCAGAAGAAGCGGGGACACAGGGCUGAGAGUGGACAUCAGAGAUGUGGAAACUUAGGAGAACCUCUAGCACUUCUGAAAAGAUCCUUGAAGGUGAAAACAUGCAACUUGCCUCACGUGCUGUUUGAGAAGAAAUAAAUACGUAUAUUUACUGUUGGUGGCACCUCAAUUGUGUGCAUCACUAGAGAGGAAGAUGGGAAGAUGCUUGGGAGUGUACCUGUCAUCACUGUCACCUGCCUUAAUUAACAGCAUGCUAAGAGCUACAAGACCCCUGAGAAGCUUGAUUGCACCACACAUUGAGGAAAGGACAGCUAAAAAUUUUUCUUUUUAAUAAAAAAUACUACUAAUGGGUCAACCAAAGAAAUAACUUUAGAUCUGGUCCUCAGUUCAGCAGGUUGAAUAAACAUCCUGCAUAAUUGGUGAAGGUGAUUUGCCAAAACAGCCAUUAUAAGAGAAAUAAAAUAAAAUAAAAUAAAAUAAAAUAAAAUAAAAUAAAAUAAAAUAAAAUAAAAUAAAAUAAAAUUAAAUUAAAUUAAAUUAAAUUAAAUUAAAUUAAUUUUUAAAAAAUCAAGUAUAUUACUUAUAAGAAUAAAUUGAAAAUAUAUGAUUUGAUUUGAUCAAGCUCAGUGUUUCUGGUUCAUUGUGAUUAUAGGGUCUGAUUUUCCAGCUUUAUACUCUUGAUUUAUGACAAAGGAUGAGGGAUACCAUUGAUUUCAGAGUUCCUGUUUUAAUGCUAUGGUAAAUUAUGGGUUGCAUCUCAUUACAUUUCUGAUUCCCAAAAUUAAAAGUGUGUUUGAGAAGCAGAGUAGGGGAGAGUGCAAAGGAGACAGAAGUAUGCUGAACUGCCCAGCUGUCUCUAGCAGGAGCUCUGUCUAAUGCUGGGAAGCAAUGCACUAUACCAGUGUUCCUACUUUUCUUUUUCAUUUGUGGAUGUUUGCCAGAGAUUACUAUCACACCACUUCUCAACAGAGCUGGAGGUCUAGUUUAUCAAAGUGUCAGUACAAAGACUAACACGAGGGAAAAUUUACUGCAAUAUGGCUGGAAUAUCAGCUCUGGUCUGACAGUUACAACAGAGAGUCAAAUCCAUCUCUGUAGCUAAAAGGUUUUCUAAAAUUUAUUGGGCAGGAAGGGACAGAUUUUACAGGUACUUAAGCCUUAAAUAGUUUACUGUGGAGUGUACUAUUAUAGUUUUAAAGCAUUUGCAUGUCUGGUACUGUUUUUUUACUGGGAAGUAGGCACACAGGCAUUUUGUAAAACCAUAGUGGUUUUUGUUUCCUGUGUUGCUGCACACCUAACAAAUAUACACAGAAAAUGUACAAAAUAUACGAUUUCUCAGUGGUGAAGUUUUCACAGGACAGGAGGUGCCACACCUCUCAGGAGGCUCCAAAAUUUGUCCUUAGAGCCUAUACUCACAGUCACAAGGGAAGUUCCAUCUGGGCUUACUAUAGUCCUCCACCCCUGUUCUCUUUUUCAGUGGUUCUAAUCAUCAAGGUAUUAUUCACAAAUAUUAUAGAUUUUUAAAUUACGAUGCAUAUAGCAAAUCUGAGUGUGCAUAGUCACUCUUUUUAGAAAUGGAGCUCAUUUAACAAUAUAGUCUGCACCAAUAUAUUGGGUAUUCCUA
Prinia subflava (tawny-flanked prinia) is the source of this 1869-nucleotide long non-coding RNA. RefSeq lists it as uncharacterized. The transcript has 3 exons. The record is from RefSeq and is a predicted model, not a curated record. NCBI's taxonomy places the organism in Eukaryota, Metazoa, Chordata, Aves, Passeriformes, Cisticolidae.